Molecule: long non-coding RNA, 5819 nt
Filed under: Sus scrofa (pig)
Lineage: Eukaryota; Metazoa; Chordata; Mammalia; Artiodactyla; Suidae
Description: lncRNA (ENSSSCG00040037987.1)
Source: RNAcentral
AAGGGCCACACCUGUGGCUUAUGGAAGUUCCCAGGUUAGGGAUUGAAUCAGAUCUGUAGCCACCAGCCUACACCACAGCCACAGCAAUACGGGAUCUAAGCCAUGUCUGCUACCUACACCAUAGCUCAUGGCAAUGCUGGAUACUUGAUCCAUUGAGUGAGGCCAGGGAUUGAACCCGUAUCCUCAUGGGUACUAGUCAGAUUCAUUUCUGCUGUGCCAUAAGGGGAACUCCCAUAAUAUUAAUUAUGUGAGUUGAACAAACACAAACACAACAAUAGGAUUAAAGAUAUACUAGAUGUUGAAUGUAUCUCUUCAUAUCUUGGAGCCCUAAUCUCCCAGGUAAUGAUAUUUGGAGAUGGGAGUUUUGGGAGGUGAAUAGGUUAGGGUGUUACCUGCUUAAUAGAACAUACUUUCAAUUUGUACAAUUGUUCAUUAAUUUGGUUACCAUCCAUGCCACCAUUAUAAUCUAACCUUAAAAAAGACAUGGAUUAGAUCUUCUUUUCCUACUGAAUUGGAAUGAUUGAAAUAUUCAACUACCUAAAUAAAAGGUAAAAGCAUAAGCUAUGUCUAAAGUAGAGACAUUACUAAGUGUGUAGACUUUAUAUACCCAGAGAAUUUUAUUCAGGAAAAUAGUUAGAUUUUUACCUGAGAUAUAUGUCACAUGAAUGUACACUUUAUUCACUUCAUUAUUUUUCCUCCCAAAUUCCUUUCAAACAUGAAUUCAUGAUAUGUCCCCAAUUCUGGGGGAGAUUUUUGUUGUGGCCACAUAAAGCAGAAAUUCCUAGCAUUUCUGGCUAUUGUUUUCCACAAUAUUGAAGGUCUUAUAUAAAGAGGAACAGGUUAUAGAAAGAGAGAGGAUCAGAGGAACAAUAAAAUAAUAUAUGGAGUUGGGGAAAGGUGGAAUUUGACUUCCCAAAGAAUGCAAACAAGAAGGAGGUGGCCAGGUGCCCGGAGCAUCAGAAUCAAGUUGUGGACCUAUGUCCUUCUCUCAAACAGCUAAAAAAGAAUGUGACAGCUUAUGGCUGCAUGAUGCUCUUACAGAAGCUAAUUCUAAGUAUAGGGCUUCCAGACUAAAAAAAAGCUCUGCCAUCAAAUUCAAAAGACCACAUGGCAUUGUCAAAUAGGCUAUCGUCAGUCACUACAAUGGACUGAAUAACUAAAACCCUUCUUCCAUUUUCCUUACUUAAGGGAACAGGUGUCAACAAAAAGAAGGACGGUGCUUAAAACCAACUAUAAUGGAAAAAAAAUAAAAAUCAUUAUACCAAAAAAAAAUUUCAGGUGUCUGAGAACUCAAAAAAAAAAAAAAAAAAAAGCUGACUGUUGCAUCACAGAACCAUUCAGUUUUGUCAAAAUGCAAAUUUCUGGGAUCCACUGCUGACCAUCUAGCAUAGAACCAUUGAGGCUAUAACUCUAAAUUACAUGUUUUUUAAACAUUUCAUUUGCACAUGCUGAACUUUAAAAAUUAUUGAGAGAAGGAGAAGUUCGAUUGCUACAAGGGAGAGAGCUGGAGACUGACGAUAUUCGUGGUUUCAAAGAGAUCUUCAGGAUUCAGAUCCACCUCAAAGGUCAAAUACUGACAAAGAGAAGCACAAGCCUAGAAUAAAUCACAGCCAGAGACAUCAGGUGGUCAAAGGGCCAGACCAGAGAAAGAAACUUGGAAGAAAUAACUACCCAAGGACAAGGCAAGCCAGCUGCUCAAAAGACUACACAGAAUCCAGAAACCAAUUCAUUUUUAUGUAAGAAACAAAGUCAUCAAAGAAGCAGGAUCAGACAAUAGCAACAUGAGUUGUAGAUUUUGCAGUAACUAUGGAUUCCAACUGCUCAGCCUCUUCCAAACUUUUCCUGGUUCAUAGACGCUCCUCCCAGUACUUGGUCAGCCUGAGCAAAUAAAAGGGAAUGUGGGACUAGUGUUGAGGUAUGACAUUGUGAAAAAAGAGAAGUCUGACUCUCAGCUAAAGUCCAGUUGGCUUUUCAAAAUAAGGGGGUUUUUGGUUAUUGUUGGUGUUGGUUUGCCUGCUUGUUUUUGGUGAGGAAUGCUCUAGUCUGUUUAAUUAUAUUUAAGCUUAUUUUUGCCAAAAUAUCAAACACAGCUUGCCAUAGAGAGUACAAUAUUUAGGACAAACCAGGAAAGUAAUUGGAAUUGAUUUCAUUACAUGAAGAGGAAAAAUUUAAUAUGGCAGCAUGCUAUUAUUGAGAAAUAAAGACAGGAAAAUAAGUGCUGUAAGUGUUUGUUUUCUAUUCAUUUGGCAAGGCACUUUUUUAAGUUGAUAUACCAUUUUUAGAUGAUUGUUUAUUCAGUUAUUCUACUUCAAGUUAACAAGGGAAACCUACUAUAUUUGACAUGAGCUUUGAUUUGUAGCUAUAACUGAGGGAAAAAUAAAAAUGUGAACAACAGAUACAUAGAAGCAAUUUAUUCAUACUGUCUUUCAGUUGACACUUUAAAAUUCCUAGCUAGUUAUAUGUUCUAGCAUGAGAUGAGGAGAUGUCAUUAAAAGAGAAAGGAAGAAUAAACAUUUUGGCAAAAAAAAAAAAAAAAAAAAAAAGAAUGGUCAGUAACUGUAAUAUCUAUGAACUAGUGCCUGAGAAAACUCCAAAGUGGAUAAUUGGUUCAUUCUUGAACUAUCAUUUUUUCCACACUUAUUUGAUUCUUCUUUAAACUCACAUUAGCUUACAUUCAUUCAUCUCAACUGUUUUUACAUUUGUUUAAUUGGUUUACAUUUAAAGAUGGAUUCUCUUAUAAUCAGUUGAAAGGUUUCAACUAAAACAUGCUCUCCAGGAGUAGUGGCGCCCAGAUUGCUCUGAUGGGGUAUCAGAAUCAAUUGAUAUGUUCAUAUGGGGAUAUCAGAAUGUCCCUUUUCUUUUCCUUCUUUGACUCUUCAAACUGUCGGACACCCUGGUUUGGGAGGAAGUCAGCAAAACUAGUUUUCAGAGGUUGGUAAGAGUUUCUCAGGGAACACUCUAAGUAUCCCAUUUUUCAAGAGGGAUUACAGUUUAAUAUGCUCACUCUGAAUAUCUUUUCUUAUUACCUAAUUGGUUGAAGUUAUUAAAAACUUCUCAGCGAGUUGAGUUUCAAUUCACACCUUGUAAAAAAGGCUAAAAUAUGCACACAGAAGACUUUUGCAACAGAACAAGCAGUGUUGCUCUUUAGAGUGACUCAUUAUAACACAAAAAGUAGGGCCUAAAGCUAGACUAUGAGAUUUAACACUCACCUCUGUGGAAUAGGUGAAGUGCAACAUUUAACAUCAAUCUUUAUUUUUCAGUUAAUACCGCUCAUUAUGGACCAGAUGGCUUGACUGUUCUGCCAUUUUCUGCAUUUUUUUUUAAAGACUAGAGAUGUUUCUCUUUUUUAAAAAAGUAAAAUGUCAUAAUAGUAGGGUGAGUGGUUUCAAGAGAGAUGCUGAGAGUCAUUUUGGAUUCAUUUAAAAAUGGGUUCUAAAACACAAGUGAAAUAUUUCAGUAGUGAAGUGUUUUAAAGAGACAUUUAAACACUCACCUGUAAUUUCCUUACAUCUAUCAUAAUUACUUCAGGUGUAGGGUUGUGAGUAUUUUCCUGCAUUUCAACUGGAGAUACUGGGAAGAGCUAUUUGAUUCAUGAAUUGCUCAAAUCAAAUCUCCAAAGUCUGUAAAUAGAGGUCUACUGGCUAUUCCUCUAUGCUCUUAAUGCAGUUUCUUGAAUGACUGAGCCCCCAAAUAAGGUUUUAUGUGCAUUGAUGCCUAUGUGACAACAACUAGUAAUUUUCAAGUUAAAAAAGCACUCAUAGUUGAACAUUACAUAAAUAUAGCUUUACUAAUGAUUACCAAAUAUAAAACAUGACAUUCUCAAAAAUGUCCAAAGGGGUCAUACACUAAGCUUCUGUUUAUAUAUUGGAAGUAAAGACAUCCAAACAUCACUACUUACCUUCAUGUCUUUUCUUUCUGCCCUGUAGGCACCAUCUACUGAGCAACUUGAGUGAAGUUUUAAGCUUUCUGUAUCUAAGGUGCUUUUUGUACUUAUUCAUGCUCUAGUAUUACAUAAGUCUAUGUUGACCAUAGUUUAACAGUUUGAUGUGCUAUCUUUAAUUUCUACUGCCAUCAUUGAAAUAAGAGAUAUUAAUUAGAAGUUCAAGUAUAUCUAAUGGAAAAGCAAAAUGACCUUGAAGAUGAAUAGUCAGUCAAGCAUAUGGGCUUCUACAGCAGUUUAAUCAAAAGAUCUUUUGAUGAUAAAAUUUUAAGUAUUUUUCUGAAGUCUUUAGCUCAGUCUGUUGACAUAACAGCAAGCCUAACUUUAAAACAUCAAAACAUUUACUGAGAAACAAGAAAGUCACUAUUCCACCCAGACGCAGCAUGUCAAAUGUUCUACAGGCAGCGACAGAGGGUUUUUUUUGGAGGCAGAGACACAGCGUGGUAAGUGGUUUUGUAGUUUAAAGGGGAAAGAUCUCUGGCAAUUAGUUUUAUUCUGUUCUGCUAUUUCUUACUUUUUACCAUUUUAGCUGAUAUUUGUACAAAAUAAAGUAAGUUUAUUCUACAAAAAAAUAUAGUAAGGACUGACAUGAACUUUUUUCCUACCAAAAUCAGCUACGAGUACCAAUAACAUUCAUUAAAUUUCCUUGUUAGUCCUUGUGCCCUAGUUAGAAAAUUAUGUCUAACUCCUACUAGAGUACUCAAUAAAUAUUUAUUAAAUACGUACUUUCUUUAGGGAUUUUUUAUAUAAACUUUUCAUACCAUUUUAAUCCAUGUAAUAUUCUCUCUUCUGAAUAUUUAUAGAACUCAAGCUUCUAAAUCUUACUCUAAAACAAAGACUUUUCCAGAAAAGUUCCUGUCUCCUGCUAGGAUUUUCUUCUUUCUUUCUAUUACCUAUAUACCUUACCCUUCAGGUAAAUAUAUUCCCCAAGGUUAAAUUUUUCUCAUGCCCUACAAAUAAUGGCUCAAUAUAUUUCCACUGCAAAUACUCUAACUCCAAGUACUUAACUCUAGGUGCCUAGAUUCUCAAAGCAUAAAUUCAGAUUCCAACACUAAUCUUGAAUUUCACUUUGGAAGAUUCAGCAGGGAGCCAUUAAUUUCCCUCAUGAUGUUCAAGGCAUACAGUCACAGGCAUAUUAAAAUGUGGAAGCACAUAAUCUGCAUAUAAACAAACUGAAAAUAAUUGGCACUCAUCAAUUGAAGUUAUCUUCUGCAAAUUAAUUCCUUUACCCAAUUUAACAUGAAUCAUUAAAUUACAUAAUCAGUUUCCAUUGUGCUGUUAUUAGUUAUAAAUAUUUACACUUACAAAUAAUAUUUUUAUCAUGAAAUAUAUUUUUGAAGAUCAAAUAAAACAUCUGUGUGUGUGUGUGUGUGUGCGUGUGUGGUGUGCAUGUGUGUGUAAAAAGGGGGAGAUGUUGCAAGACAUGUUUCCUUGAAAACAUCUUAUCCCAUCUUCUUGUCUUAUUUUAUCCCAUCUUCCUUCUUGGAGAAACAGUCACAGUGCUGGUAAAUGACUUAAGUUUAAGAGCAAAGACCUAAAGGCAUAAGUGACUUAAGCUUAAGAAAUGUUAUGUGCCUAGAGGUCAGAGUAAGAGCUUAACCCUUUACCACCUAAGUGCCUUUCUAAAUAGUAAAAGAACUUAUAUAAUAGUAAAAAAAACCCUGUAUUAUCCACCCAUAGCCACUCCUCACUUGAUCUCAUCUGAAGAGCACAAUAAAAGCAGUGUGGAUUCUGGAGGCAGCUUUCUCUUGGUCCCUGAGACCUUGAGUCCCCCAGUGACCUUGAGUUCUCCAGUUCCCACCUUUACUUAAGAUAAAUGUCUCUGUGUCUUGUUUUAUGUUAACUAUUUUUCCUUAAGUUCCACAGCACCCGUUCUUCA